RNAcentral lists this long non-coding RNA (204 nucleotides) under Elaeis guineensis (African oil palm). RNAcentral's name for it is "long non-coding RNA (EGUI_LNC032509)". The record is from RNAcentral. Lineage: Eukaryota; Viridiplantae; Streptophyta; Magnoliopsida; Arecales; Arecaceae.
ACUGCACCAUCAUAACAUAGGAAUAUGCAUGCUUAUGUAGAUAUUCUAUCAUCAAUCUGUAUUUCUCUAAACCCUAAAUUCUCUUCAUCCAAAGAUCAAGAACAUAUUCCUAGUCUUUCUCAAAUGCUUAAUAAUAUAUUUCACAUCUACCUAGUGAUCUCAGUCUAGAUUUGACUAAUAUCUACUCGUGUCACUCACAAUAAG